AGUGAACGCUGGCGGUAGGCCUAACACAUGCAAGUCGAACGGCAGCACAGUAAGAGCUUGCUCUUACGGGUGGCGAGUGGCGGACGGGUGAGGAAUACAUCGGAAUCUACUUUUUCGUGGGGGAUAACGUAGGGAAACUUACGCUAAUACCGCAUACGACCUACGGGUGAAAGUAGGGGAUCUUCGGACCUUGCGCGAUUGAAUGAGCCGAUGUCGGAUUAGCUAGUUGGCGGGGUAAAGGCCCACCAAGGCGACGAUCCGUAGCUGGUCUGAGAGGAUGAUCAGCCACACUGGAACUGAGACGCGGUCCAGACUCCUACGGGAGGCAGCAGUGGGGAAUAUUGGACAAUGGGCGCAAGCCUGAUCCAGCCAUACCGCGUGGGUGAAGAAGGCCUUCGGGUUGUAAAGCCCUUUUGUUGGGAAAGAAAAGCAGCAGGUUAAUACCCCGCUGUUCUGACGGUACCCAAAGAAUAAGCACCGGCUAACUUCGUG
This 492-nucleotide ribosomal RNA is filed under the name uncultured bacterium. Its description in RNAcentral is "partial 16S ribosomal RNA". It matches the Rfam family "Bacterial small subunit ribosomal RNA", at positions 29 to 507 of the family's 1533-position model. The record is from RNAcentral.